GUUGUACUUUAUAACGUAGCAAACUGCUCAGUAACACGUGGCCAAACUGCCCUAUGGACUGGAAUAACCUCGGGAAACUGAGGCUAAUUCCGGAUAGCACAUCCAGCCUGGAAAUGGAGGAUGUGUGAAACGCUCCGGCGCCAUAGGAUGUGGCUGCGGCCGAUUAGGUAGACGGUGGGGUAACGGCCCACCGUGCCGAUAAUCGGUACGGGUCAUGAGAGUGAGAGCCCGGAGACGGACUCUGAGACACGAGUCCGGGCCCUACGGGGCGCAGCAGGCGCGAAACCUUUACACUGCACGCCAGUGCGAUAGGGGGACACCGAGUGCGAGGGCAUAGAGCCCUCGCUUUUCUGGACCGUAAGGAGGUCCACGAAUAAGGGCUGGGCAAGACCGGUGCCAGCCGCCGCGGUAACACCGGCAGCCCAAGUGAUGGCCGAUAUUAUUGGGCCUAAAGCGUCCGUAGCUGGCCGUUCAAGUUCGUCGGGAAAUCCACUCGCUUAACGAGUGGGCGUCCGGCGAAAACUGUUCGGCUUGGGACCGGAAGAUCCAAGGGGUACGUCCGGGGUAGGAGUGAAAUCCUGUAAUCCUGGACGGACCACCGAUGGCGAAAGCACCUUGGAAGGACGGAUCCGACAGUGAGGGACGAAAGCUAGGGUCUCGAACCGGAUUAGAUACCCGGGUAGUCCUAGCCGUAAACGAUGCUCGCUAGGUGUGGCGCAGGCUACGAGCCUGCGCUGUGCCGUAGGGAAGCCGUGAAGCGAGCCGCCUGG
This 770-nucleotide ribosomal RNA is filed under the name uncultured archaeon. Its description in RNAcentral is "bacterial SSU rRNA". It matches the Rfam family "Archaeal small subunit ribosomal RNA", at positions 64 to 831 of the family's 1478-position model. The record is from RNAcentral.